UUGAAGAAUUUGAAGUCUUUAACUUGUAGACUUGAUGAAUUGGAAGACUUCAUCAUGCAGACUUGGAGAUUUUUGAAGAUUUCAAGU
This 87-nucleotide microRNA precursor is filed under the name Solanum tuberosum (potato). RNAcentral describes it as "MIR8024 microRNA precursor family". It matches the Rfam family "MIR8024 microRNA precursor family". The record is from Rfam by way of RNAcentral. Lineage: Eukaryota; Viridiplantae; Streptophyta; Magnoliopsida; Solanales; Solanaceae.